Xenia sp. Carnegie-2017 is the source of this 188-nucleotide long non-coding RNA. RefSeq lists it as uncharacterized. The record is from RefSeq and is a predicted model, not a curated record. The transcript has 3 exons. Lineage: Eukaryota; Metazoa; Cnidaria; Anthozoa; Malacalcyonacea; Xeniidae.
CAGAGUAAAUGGGGAAUUUGAUUGACUAAUACAGCUUUCACCUCAAUAAUAAAUUUUAUACCCAUAUUUAAUACCAGUUGCUAUGGGAUUUUUUCCUCUAAGUAUGCAACAUCUGGUGUUGUUUAUACAAGAAUGAUGAAGUGCAUGUACACAUGUAAAAAUAAGGCAAUAAAACCAAAUGAAUUAAA